GCGCCCAUAGCUCAGUCGGUAGAGCAAAUGACUCUUAAUCAUUGGGUCCAAGGUUCAAGUCCUUGUGGGCGCACCA
Molecule: transfer RNA, 76 nt
Filed under: Lentisphaerota bacterium
Lineage: Bacteria; Pseudomonadati; Lentisphaerota
Also listed under: 1 other name
Description: Lentisphaerae bacterium (feces metagenome) tRNA-Lys
Rfam family: tRNA
About the family: Transfer RNA (tRNA) molecules are approximately 80 nucleotides in length. Their secondary structure includes four short double-helical elements and three loops (D, anti-codon, and T loops).
Source: RNAcentral